RNAcentral lists this ribosomal RNA (823 nucleotides) under Enterococcus lactis. RNAcentral describes it as "bacterial SSU rRNA". It matches the Rfam family "Bacterial small subunit ribosomal RNA", at positions 44 to 836 of the family's 1533-position model. Lineage: Bacteria; Bacillati; Bacillota; Bacilli; Lactobacillales; Enterococcaceae. The record is from RNAcentral.
GUGCAGUAGGGGGUCUAUAAUGCAGUCGUACGCUUCUUUUUCCACCGGAGCUUGCUCCACCGGAAAAAGAAGAGUGGCGAACGGGUGAGUAACACGUGGGUAACCUGCCCAUCAGAAGGGGAUAACACUUGGAAACAGGUGCUAAUACCGUAUAACAAUCGAAACCGCAUGGUUUUGAUUUGAAAGGCGCUUUCGGGUGUCGCUGAUGGAUGGACCCGCGGUGCAUUAGCUAGUUGGUGAGGUAACGGCUCACCAAGGCCACGAUGCAUAGCCGACCUGAGAGGGUGAUCGGCCACAUUGGGACUGAGACACGGCCCAAACUCCUACGGGAGGCAGCAGUAGGGAAUCUUCGGCAAUGGACGAAAGUCUGACCGAGCAACGCCGCGUGAGUGAAGAAGGUUUUCGGAUCGUAAAACUCUGUUGUUAGAGAAGAACAAGGAUGAGAGUAACUGUUCAUCCCUUGACGGUAUCUAACCAGAAAGCCACGGCUAACUACGUGCCAGCAGCCGCGGUAAUACGUAGGUGGCAAGCGUUGUCCGGAUUUAUUGGGCGUAAAGCGAGCGCAGGCGGUUUCUUAAGUCUGAUGUGAAAGCCCCCGGCUCAACCGGGGAGGGUCAUUGGAAACUGGGAGACUUGAGUGCAGAAGAGGAGAGUGGAAUUCCAUGUGUAGCGGUGAAAUGCGUAGAUAUAUGGAGGAACACCAGUGGCGAAGGCGGCUCUCUGGUCUGUAACUGACGCUGAGGCUCGAAAGCGUGGGGAGCAAACAGGAUUAAUACCCGGGGGGGCACACAAAAUAAAAUGGGCAGGGUUGGGGUUUAUACCG